CGCCCUUGAGUUUGAUCAUGGCUCAGAUUGAACGCUGGCGGCAGGCCUAACACAUGCAAGUCGAGCGGAUGAAGAGAGCUUGCUCUCUGAUUCAGCGGCGGACGGGUGAGUAAUGCCUAGGAAUCUGCCUGGUAGUGGGGGACAACGUUUCGAAAGGAACGCUAAUACCGCAUACGUCCUACGGGAGAAAGCAGGGGACCUUCGGGCCUUGCGCUAUCAGAUGAGCCUAGGUCGGAUUAGCUAGUUGGUGGGGUAAUGGCUCACCAAGGCGACGAUCCGUAACUGGUCUGAGAGGAUGAUCAGUCACACUGGAACUGAGACACGGUCCAGACUCCUACGGGAGGCAGCAGUGGGGAAUAUUGGACAAUGGGCGAAAGCCUGAUCCAGCCAUGCCGUGUGUGUGAAGAAGGUCUUCGGAUUGUAAAGCACUUUAAGUUGGGAGGAAGGGUUGUAGAUUAAUACUCUGCAAUUUUGACGUUACCGACAGAAUAAGCACCGGCUAACUCUGUGC
This 511-nucleotide ribosomal RNA is filed under the name uncultured Pseudomonas sp. RNAcentral describes it as "bacterial SSU rRNA". It matches the Rfam family "Bacterial small subunit ribosomal RNA", at positions 1 to 508 of the family's 1533-position model. The record is from RNAcentral. Lineage: Bacteria; Pseudomonadati; Pseudomonadota; Gammaproteobacteria; Pseudomonadales; Pseudomonadaceae.